GCUCCUUGGUUUUAAGGCUGAGAAGGACUCUGCCAGCACGGAGCCAUACUACUGCCUCUCAGACUUCAUUGCUCCCUUGCAUUCUGGCAUCCGUGACUACCUGGGCCUGUUUGCCGUUGCCUGCUUUGGGGUAGAAGAGCUGAGCAAGGCCUAUGAGGAUGAUGGUGACGACUACAGCAGCAUCAUGGUCAAGGCGCUGGGGGACCGGCUGGCAGAGGUAAGGCAGAGGCAUCGCGCCGAGGGGCUGAGGACAGAGGCCAGGCAGUAGGGAGCCUGGGGUGGGUACCUGAAGACUGAUCAGCCCUUAGAACCAGUGUCUUUUUUUUUUUUUUCUUGAGUUGGAUGCUGCUGGCUUUAACAUUAUACGUAUUUUAAUAUUAUGUAUCCCCAGAUUGCUUGUGUACAUUAUCUUUGAGGCAAAGAAAAACCUUGAAUGGUGCCACAGUUGGCUGUUGCUCUUAGAGCCUUUAUCUCUACCUUAUCUCUGUUGUCUCUGUUGGCUUGUUGUGAUGUGACAUUUUCCUCAGUAUCCCAAAAAAUUAAAAACAAAUUUUUAUUUCAGAGCCCCUCAUUGUAAUGCUGGUGUCAUCUAUAGAUUCUUCAUCUUCCUCUGCAUGGAAUGAGGGUAGUAGCCUUUGCCCUGGGGAGAGCCUCUCCCUUUUCCUGCAGUGAACAGUGGAGGAACUAGCAGCUGUAUGGUCCCAGCUGCUCUUUCUGGCCCGUGGAGCUUUGGAUUGACCUUUAGGGAAAUCGUUAAUUUUAAGGUCUAAAAUCUUUAGGUCAUUAAGUAUGGUCCUUCAGAGCUCAGGUUAAGGCCAAAAUUGAGCUGCAGAGCAGCAGCUGAUGAAAGUACAAACCAAUCAAGAAUCCAGCCUGUUUCCUCUUGCCAAAUUUCCCCUGGCUGUGGUCCAGAUGAGGGAGGGUGUCCUCAUGGUUCUAAUUCAGGGGGUGGAGGCUGCACUGAUGCUGUGAGCCCCUGCGUCUGCCUAAGCAUGCCUGCUGCUUUGGGUCCCAAGGCCUUUGCAGAAGAGCUCCAUGAAAGAGUUCGCCGAGAACUGUGGGCCUACUGUGGCAGUGAGCAGCUGGACGUCGCAGACCUGCGCAGGCUGCGGUACAAGGGCAUCCGCCCGGCUCCUGGCUACCCCAGCCAGCCCGACCACACCGAGAAGCUCACCAUGUGGAGACUCGCAGACAUCGAGCAGUCUACAGGCAUUAGGUUAACAGAAUCAUUAGCAAUGGCACCUGCUUCAGCAGUCUCAGGCCUCUACUUCUCCAAUUUGAAGUCCAAAUAUUUUGCUGUGGGGAAGAUUUCCAAGGAUCAGGUUGAGGAUUAUGCGUUGAGGAAGAACAUAUCUGUGGCUGAGGUUGAGAAAUGGCUUGGACCCAUUUUGGGAUAUGAUACAGACUAACUUUUUUUUUUUUUUUUGCCUUUUUUAUUCUUGAUGAUCCUCAAGGAAAUACAACCUAGGGUGCCUUAAAAAUAACAACAAAAAAAAACCUGUGUGCAUCUGGCUGACACUUCCCUGCUUCUGGUUUUCGAAGACUAUUUAGUGGAACCUUGUAGAGGAGCAGGGUCUUCCUGCAGUGCCUGGAAAACAGGCGCUGUUUUUUUGGGACCUUGCGUGAAGAGCAGUGAGCAGGGUUCCUGUGGUUUCCCUGGUCCCUCUGAGAUGGGGACAGACUGAAGACAGAGGUCGUUUGAUUUCAAAGCAAGUCAACCUGCUUUUUUCUGUUUUUACAGUGGAAUCUAGGAGGCCACUUAGUCGUCUUUUUUUCCUCUUAGAAGAAAAGCCUGAAACUGAGUUGAAUAGAGAAGUGUGACCCUGUGACAAAAUGAUACUGUGAGAAAUGGGGCAUUUUAAUCUAAGUGGUUAUAACAGUGGAUUCUGACGGGGAAGGUGUAGCUCUGUUCUCUUCGGAAGACCUCAUUUUCUAAAGGCUGGACUAAAUGGUUGCAGAACUCCCUUUGGCAAAAGGCAUGCGCUCACUGCUUGCUUGUCAGAAACACUGAAGCCAUUUGCCCCAGUGUGGUCAAGCAGCCAUGCUUUCUGGGCAUUUUCGUCCUCCCAUAAUUUCGUAUUUCCGUACCCCUGAGGAAACAAAAAGGAAAUGAGGAGAGAAAGUUACUGUUAAGGGUGGUUAACAUUUUUUUUGUUUUGUUUUGUUUUGGUUUUUUUUUUGAGACAGAGUCUGGCUCUGUCGCCCAGGCUGGAGUGCAGUGGCACAAUCUCGGCUCACAGCAAGCUCCGCCUCCUGGGUUCGUGCCAUUCUCCUGCCUCAGCCUCCAGAGUAGCUGGGACUACAGGUGCCCGCCACCACACCCGGCUAAUUUUUUGUGUUUUUACAAAAUACAAAAAAGUAGAGACAGGAUUUCACUGUGUUAGCCAGGAUGGUCUUGAUCUCCCGACCUCGUGAUCUGCCCACCUCAGCCUCCCAAAAUGCUGGGAUUACAGGCGUGAGCCACCGAGCCUGGCCGGUUAACAUCUUUUAAUUGUUUCCAGGAUUGAGCAGGUUCUCAGCUGGGCUCUGAUAUCCCGUGCGGAGUUGGACAAGUGGGCAGCAUAAAGUCACUCAUUUCUUACCAUUUUAUUCCCCUCAAUUCUCAGUAUAUUCAGUAAUGAAGAAUGGUGCCACCACUCAAGCAACAAGCCUCAAACUCACCCAUGUCAUCUUUUUCUUGGAUGAUUGCAGUUAUUUCAAAAAUUUGCAUGCAAAAUAUACACUCAUCCUACUUCAAGAUGGUGGUGGCAAUAGUCAGGAGAAGGUAGCAUUGGAGUCCUGGUUUGAUUCGAAGGAUGAAGACGAAGAAGCAAGGGAGGAACAAAUGAAGAACCAUCUUUGUUCAUGAAUAGGAAUAUUAAAGAUUAUAAAGGUAUCAGGUCUCCUAAAAUUGAUCUAUGGAUUUAAUACCAUUUUCAAUGGAAAUUCCAACAGAUUUUAUUGAAUGAAACAAGCAGGUGUUUAUAUGGAGUAGCAAAGGACUUAAAAUUACCAAAUGCUUCUAAAUAUGAAGGAGAGGUUGAGGACACGCACCCUAUGUGAUACCAAGUUUUAUUGUCAAGACAGUGUCAUGGUGCAGAGGUCGGCAUUCUGAGCAGGGGAACAAAAUAAGGGCCUAGAAACUCACCCAUGCAUAUGUUGACCUUUGCAAAAUGACCUGGUGACAUGGCAAGUCAGUGGGGACAGGAAGGACCACUCCCUAAGUAAUCCCAGAACAAUGGCUAUUCAUGUGGGAAAAAAAGAAAUUUUACUUUCUCUCACCUUACCUGGUGAUAAGUUCCAAAUAUGUUAAGGGCUUUAAUACAAAAAGCAAAAAUUGUCAGUGUUUGGAUGAAAAAAGCCUUAGGGCAGGAAAGAAUCUCUUGAGACAUAAAGUAGUAAUCAUAAAGGACAAGAUGGUUAAGUCAAUUCUGUUAAAACUCAAGGCUUAUAUUAAGCAAACACUUGAAGUGAGAAGAUGAUCCACAACUUGAGAAGACGUUUAUAAUACAAAUAACUGAUGAAGGAUUCAUAAUCACAAAUAUAGAGAAUUCCUAUUUAAAAAAAUAGAAAAAUAGUGAAGACUACACAAGAGGAAAUAGGGCUUUUAAAUAAAUAGAUGUUCUGUAGCAUUGGUCAGGGAAAUAUGAAUUAGGACCACAAUGAGAUUCCAUUUUAUAUCCAUAAGAUUUGCAAAGGUUGGGUCUGACAGUACCAGUUGUUAGAUCUGUAGGGACUUGUACAACAUUGUGGAUGUGUAAACAGGCACCACUGCUUUAAAAAAACAAUUAUCCCUUACAGACUUGAACAUUUGCAGACCUUAUGAUCUUGCUUCCAACUCCCACCUGUAUGUCCAGCAAACUCUUGCAUGUGGCCACUAGGAGGAAUGUGUAAGAAUGUUCAUAGUUACAUAUUUAUAAUAGUUAAUAACUGGAAAAAGUGAAAUGUAUGUCUGUCUACAGGAAAAUAGGUGAAUAAUAUAUAUAUUCUACGGGAUAUUAUUCAGUAGUGGAAAUGAGUGAACUACAGCUAUACCUCACAAUAAGAAUGAAUCUCAGAAAAUAUUAAGGAAAAAAGCAAGUUUGAAGAGACCACAUGGGGCGUACUAUUUUUAUUGAGCCCAAAAACAAGCAAAACCAAAGAAUAUAUAGUCUAAGCAUACGUAUACAAUAAAACUAUGCUAUU
This 4164-nucleotide small RNA is filed under the name Pan troglodytes (chimpanzee). RNAcentral describes it as "processed transcript". The record is from RNAcentral. Lineage: Eukaryota; Metazoa; Chordata; Mammalia; Primates; Hominidae.